RNAcentral lists this ribosomal RNA (301 nucleotides) under uncultured bacterium. Its description in RNAcentral is "partial 16S ribosomal RNA". It matches the Rfam family "Bacterial small subunit ribosomal RNA", at positions 509 to 808 of the family's 1533-position model. The record is from RNAcentral.
CAGUCGCCACGGUAAUACGUAGGUCCCGAGCGUUGUCUGGAUUUAUUGGGCGUAAAGCGAGCGCAGGCGGUUAGAUAAGUCUGAAGUUAAAGGCUGUGGCUUAACCAUAGUACGCUUUGGAAACUGUUUAACUUGAGUGCAAGAGGGGAGAGUGGAAUUCCAUGUGUAGCGGCGAAAUGCGUAGAUAUAUGGAGGAACACCGGUGGCGAAAGCGGCUCUCUGGCUUGUAACUGACGCUGAGGCUCGAAAGCGUGGGGAGCAAACAGGAUUAGAUACCCCGGUAGUCCCUGUCUCUUAUACA